CACCGAUUGACUAAGGUUUCCAGAGGAAGGCUCGUCCGCUCUGGGUUAGUCGGGUCCUAAGCUGAGGCCGACAGGCGUAGGCGAUGGAUAACAGGUUGAUAUUCCUGUACCACCUAUAAUCGUUUUAAUCGAUGGGGGGACGCAGUAGGAUAGGCGAAGCGUGCGAUUGGAUUGCACGUCUAAGCAGUAAGGCUGAGUAUUAGGCAAAUCCGGUACUCAUUAAGGCUGAGCUGUGAUGGGGAGAAGACAUUGUGUCUUCGAGUCGUUGAUUUCACACUGCCGAGAAAAGCCUCUAGAUAGAAAAUAGGUGCCCGUACCGCAAACCGACACAGGUAGUCAAGAUGAGAAUUCUAAGGUGAGCGAGCGAACUCUCGUUAAGGAACUCGGCAAAAUGACCCCGUAACUUCGGGAGAAGGGGUGCUCUUUAGGGUUAACGCCCAGAAGAGCCGCAGUGAAUAGGCCCAAGCGACUGUUUAUCAAAAACACAGGUCUCUGCUAAACCGUAAGGUGAUGUAUAGGGGCUGACGCCUGCCCGGUGCUGGAAGGUUAAGAGGAGUGGUUAGCUUCUGCGAAGCUACGAAUCGAAGCCCCAGUAAACGGCGGCCGUAACUAUAACGGUCCUAAGGUAGCGAAAUUCCUUGUCGGGUAAGUUCCGACCCGCACGAAAGGCGUAACGAUUUGGGCACUGUCUCAACGAGAGACUCGGUGAAAUCAUAGUACCUGUGAAGAUGCAGGUUACCCGCGACAGGACGGAAAGACCCCGUGGAGCUUUACUGUAGCCUGAUAUUGAAAUUCGGCACAGCUUGUACAGGAUAGGUAGGAGCCUUUGAAACGUGAGCGCUAGCUUACGUGGAGGCGCUGGUGGGAUACUACCCUAGCUGUGUUGGCUUUCUAACCCGCACCACUUAUCGUGGUGGGAGACAGUGUCAGGCGGGCAGUUUGACUGGGGCGGUCGCCUCCUAAAAGGUAACGGAGGCGCUCAAAGGUUCCCUCAGAAUGGUUGGAAAUCAUUCAUAGAGUGUAAAGGCAUAAGGGAGCUUGACUGCGAGACCUACAAGUCGAGCAGGGUCGAAAGACGGACUUAGUGAUCCGGUGGUUCCGCAUGGAAGGGCCAUCGCUCAACGGAUAAAAGCUACCCCGGGGAUAACAGGCUUAUCUCCCCCAAGAGUUCACAUCGACGGGGAGGUUUGGCACCUCGAUGUCGGCUCAUCGCAUCCUGGGGCUGUAGUCGGUCCCAAGGGUUGGGCUGUUCGCCCAUUAAAGCGGUACGCGAGCUGGGUUCAGAACGUCGUGAGACAGUUCGGUCCCUAUCCGUCGUGGGCGUAGGAAAUUUGAGAGGAGCUGUCCUUAGUACGAGAGGACCGGGAUGGACAUACCUCUGGUGUACCAGUUGUCGUGCCAACGGCAUAGCUGGGUAGCUAUGUGUGGACGGGAUAAGUGCUGAAAGCAUCUAAGCAUGAAGCCCCCCUCAAGAUGAGAUUUCCCAACUUCGGUUAUAAGAUCCCUCAAAGAUGAUGAGGUUAAUAGGUUCGAGGUGGAAGCAUGGUGACAUGUGGAGCUGACGAAUACUAA
RNAcentral lists this ribosomal RNA (1572 nucleotides) under Staphylococcus aureus. Its description in RNAcentral is "partial 23S ribosomal RNA". It matches the Rfam family "Bacterial large subunit ribosomal RNA", at positions 1335 to 2904 of the family's 2925-position model. Lineage: Bacteria; Bacillati; Bacillota; Bacilli; Caryophanales; Staphylococcaceae. The record is from RNAcentral.